This 242-nucleotide long non-coding RNA is filed under the name Manihot esculenta (cassava). Its description in RNAcentral is "long non-coding RNA (MESC_LNC002739)". Lineage: Eukaryota; Viridiplantae; Streptophyta; Magnoliopsida; Malpighiales; Euphorbiaceae. The record is from RNAcentral.
UACACCCGCUCUCCCCAUUUAGCUCACAGAACCAGUCCCCCAUCUGCUCAGCCUCCUCUUCUUCUCCACUCCUUCACUCAAUCUCACCUCCACGCCAUCUCCCCUUCAUCUUCCUCACCAAGACCAUCAAGAAUCAACUCCACCCUACUCCACCGAACCCUUCUCAACACCAGAACUCAUUUCACGACAACCUCAUCACCUCUCCAAUCUCACCAUCAGCCCCCAGGAGCACCAUCCAUACC